RNAcentral lists this ribosomal RNA (253 nucleotides) under uncultured bacterium. RNAcentral describes it as "partial 16S ribosomal RNA". It matches the Rfam family "Bacterial small subunit ribosomal RNA", at positions 524 to 776 of the family's 1533-position model. The record is from RNAcentral.
UACGUAGGUGGCAAGCGUUGUCCGGAUUUACUGGGCGUAAAGAGCGUGUAGGCGGCCCGAUAAGUCCGCCGUGAAAGUCCAGGGCUCAACCCUGGAAUGCCGGUGGAAACUGUCGGGCUGGAGUCCGGAAGAGGCGAGUGGAAUUCCUGGUGUAGCGGUGAAAUGCGCAGAUAUCAGGAGGAACACCAAUGGCGAAGGCAGCUCGCUGGGACGGUACUGACGCUGAGACGCGAAAGCGUGGGGAGCAAACAGG